UUACUUCAAUUAAGCAUUGCAAUUUGCAACUGUUAUAUAUCAUUCCUGUUUAAUUUGGUAAGUUUAGGACCUUGUUUAAUUCGUUUGUUGAAUAUGAAUUGAAUUUUUAGCUCUUUGAUUUUAAUACUUACUAGGAUGGUAUGGUAUAGUCUUUCACUAAGUCAUACAAGGAGUUAUUAGUCUUACCAAAAUUAUAAAAAAAGGAUUUGAUAAGUUUAAUAUUAUAAAUCAGUGAUGUAUUUGCAUGUAUAUUAGGAUAGUUAUCAAUAGAGAUAAAGGGUCUGCUCAAGUUAAAUUCUUUUCGCAAGUAUUUUCAUAGAAGAAAAUCAUUUUUUGUUAGUCUAUUUUUCACAUAUUACAUUCCUUUCAUAGAAAUUGAUACCUGUUGUUCUAAAUUUAUUUAGUUAAACAGACUAAUGAUUUAAGGAUCAGAUAAGUUGCUCUCCUUUUAGUAUUAGAAAUUGUUUGAUACAUUGUUUUAAAUUAUGUUUUGAUUGUUGUACAUUCAAGAAGAAAAGACCAACAGAUCUAUAUAAAUUUAUAAAUUUUGUAUUCAUUGUUUUGAUCUGAUCAAUUAUUGAUGUCCUUGGCUGACAUAUAGGCCGACAUAAAUAUUUGAGUGCUUCUGUCUAAAUCUAUGUUCCAACCUACUAAUAAGUAAUACAGGCUCUUGUUGGAUAUUUUUUUUUCUCCUUCAAAGACAUUACCACAAUCCAACAAUAAAAAUGACAAAGAUAGUGGCGAUGAUGAGGUUUGUAGUAAUCAUAAUAAGUAGUAUUUAUUUUGAUAUUUUUAAUUUGGUUGUAUUAUGUAUUUGUUUAUAUUUAGUUUUUAUUUUCG
This 840-nucleotide long non-coding RNA is filed under the name Cicer arietinum (chickpea). RNAcentral's name for it is "long non-coding RNA (CARI_LNC002273)". Lineage: Eukaryota; Viridiplantae; Streptophyta; Magnoliopsida; Fabales; Fabaceae. The record is from RNAcentral.